RNAcentral lists this ribosomal RNA (527 nucleotides) under uncultured bacterium. Its description in RNAcentral is "bacterial SSU rRNA". It matches the Rfam family "Bacterial small subunit ribosomal RNA", at positions 1 to 507 of the family's 1533-position model. The record is from RNAcentral.
CGAAAAAGUACUAUCAAUUAAAUAAAAAUAGGUGAAACAAAAGAAUAAGCGAAGAAGAAGCAAAUGCGCUUCACGCUAAUUCCAAGUACCAACACAAAACAAAUUCAAUGUUUGGUGAAGCAACUUGCUUAGUGGCGGACGGGUGAGUAACGCGUGAACAGUCUGCCCCGUACAAAGGGAUAGCCUCGGGAAACCGGGAUUAAAACCAUAUAACACUUAACUGCCGCAUGGUAGUGAAGUCAAAUCGAGUAAGAGGUAUGGGAUGAGUUCGCGUCUGAUUAGCUAGUUGGUGAGGUAAGGGCUCACCAAGGCGACGAUCAGUAGCCGGCCUGAGAGGGUGAACGGCCACACUGGAACUGAGACACGGUCCAGACUCCUACGGGAGGCAGCAGUGGGGAAUAUUGCACAAUGGAGGGAACUCUGAUGCAGCGACGCCGCGUGAGUGAAGAAGGUCUUCGGAUCGUAAAACUCUGUCCUUGGUGAAGAAAAGGACGGUAGCCAAGGAGGAAGCCCCGGCUAACUACGUG